Molecule: ribosomal RNA, 253 nt
Filed under: uncultured bacterium
Lineage: Bacteria
Description: partial 16S ribosomal RNA
Rfam family: Bacterial small subunit ribosomal RNA
Source: RNAcentral
UACGUAGGUGACCAGCGUUGUCCGGAUUUACUGGGCGUAAAGCGCGCGCAGGCGGUCCUUUAAGUCUGAUGUGAAAGCCCACGGCUCAACCGUGGAGGGUCAUUGGAAACUGGGGGACUUGAGUACAGAAGAGAAGAGUGGAAUUCCACGUGUAGCGGUGAAAUGCGUAGAGAUGUGGAGGAACACCAGUGGCGAAGGCGACUCGUUGGUCUGUAACUGACGCUGAGGCGCGAAAGCGUGGGGAGCAAACAGG